ACCUUCUAGCUCAGUAGGGGUGGUGUAGACAUCUUCUGUGGAACCCCAGUGAGGUUCAAAGGCUGGUGCAUGGCGGGUCCUAACAGGGAUUCCCUCUGCGCUGGGACCCAGAGCCAAAGAGACAAAAAUUGCUCAGCUGUGACGGGGAAGGGUCCCCAGAAGAUGACGUCAUCGUCACCCUGCCUUUUGAGUCCUGUGGCAUUUUUCAGGCCAUCAGCCACCAAGGUUUAAGGACCUCCCACGAUCUGAAACUGCACUGAAGAAAGAGGACGAAAGAUAGGACUUAGGCCCGGCUCGAGAGAUGCUGUUCACUGGGUGUUGGGUGAGCCGGCCAUACUGGCUGCCCAGGGUGAUGAUCAGGACACAAAAGCUGCUUCUGGAAUAGUGUUGAUCAGACCUGAUUGAGAACCUCUUAAAGGAACGAACAGCUGUAAUGGGAAAGCUGGACUCUGUCAUCCGUUAGGAUGAUUCUGGAAGCAAGAAGAACACGGCUGACAUCUUGGAGCAAUUGUAUUUACAAUUAACAUGGCCGAGAACGAUUGCCUCUAUUGAUUCCCCCUUCCUGCAAUUACAGCCCCAUUGUUUACAUUCCAGCACUUCAGUUAUAAAAAGGAAAUUC
RNAcentral lists this long non-coding RNA (619 nucleotides) under Rattus norvegicus (Norway rat). Its description in RNAcentral is "long non-coding RNA NONRATT014708". The record is from RNAcentral. Lineage: Eukaryota; Metazoa; Chordata; Mammalia; Rodentia; Muridae.